This 59-nucleotide microRNA precursor is filed under the name Chlorocebus sabaeus (green monkey). RNAcentral describes it as "miRNA (ENSCSAG00000027069.1)". The record is from RNAcentral. Lineage: Eukaryota; Metazoa; Chordata; Mammalia; Primates; Cercopithecidae.
GAGCUGGGCUGAGCUGGGCUGAACUGGGCUGAGUCGAGCUGGGCUGGGCUGGGCUGGGC